GCAAACUUGGUCAUUUAGAGGAAGUAAAAGUCGUAACAAGGUCUCCGUAGUGGAGUAUGACCCCUCCGUCGCGAUCCUUGGAAGCCUUUGCACCCCCGAAAGGGGCCCUCGCGACUCUAAACUGAGAGGGACGCAAGUGCCUGGUGGGUAGCCGCCGUUGGCACAACACAGCCGAAAUGCGGGGACAUCCUAAAGCCUAGGGGUACCAACUCACCGUAGAGAUGCAGUGGGGGCCCGUGUUAGCAGCACGGUGAACCUGCGGAGGGAUCAUUACAGAGUGUUCGUGCCCCCGGGCCAACCUCCCACCCUAUGCUAUCCCUGCGCCUGUUGCUUUGGCGGGUCGCGCCUGCGCCCGCCGGAGGCUCCGCAGACUCUGGAUGUCGGUGUCGUCUGAGCAUCGUGUAAUCGCGAAAAACUUUCAACAACGGAUCUCUUGGUUCUGGCAUCGAUGAAGAACGCAGC
RNAcentral lists this unclassified non-coding RNA (462 nucleotides) under uncultured fungus. RNAcentral describes it as "partial contains small subunit ribosomal RNA, internal transcribed spacer 1, and 5.8S ribosomal RNA". The stretch from base 414 to 462 matches the Rfam family "5.8S ribosomal RNA", at positions 1 to 49 of the family's 154-position model. The record is from RNAcentral. Lineage: Eukaryota; Fungi.